AAUACCAGUAGAAACUAUUUAAGAAAGUUCAAUGAGUUUAACAAAGGUAGAAAAUGGCUCCAUGAUGAUAAACAUGAAAGAAUUCAUUCUGAGGAGAAAUGCUGUGAAUACCAUAAAAAUGGGAAUGGCUUCCGUCUUAAUGAAGUCCUUGUUCAGCAUCAGAAAAUUCAAAUUUUGGAGCAAUCUUUCGAGUACAUUGAAUGUAGGAAAACUUACCCUGAAAAUUCACUCUUCCUUAUACAUAAGAGAGUUUGCACAGGACAGAAAACCUUUAAAUAUACUAAAUAUAGGAAAACUUUCUGUGAUAUGUCAUCUCUUAUUACCCAUCAGCAAGCAUAUCCAAGAGAGAAUCACUAUGAAUGUAAUAAAUGUCAAGAAAAAUUCUUUGAGAAAUCCAUUCUCUUUGAACAUCAGAGUAUUUACCCUUUCAACCAGAAGUCAAAUCUCACUCCAAUGCAGAUGACUCACUCACCUGACAAUAUCAUUGAAUAUAAUGAACGUGGGAGCCUUUUCAGUGAAAAGUUAGGCCUUGAUGUACAACAGAUAACACAUCCAGGAGAAAACCACUAGGAGUGUCAUGAAUGUGGAAAAUCUUUCAACCAGAAAGCAGCCCACACAAGACAUCAGAGAACACACACACACAAGGGAAAAAUCCUAUGAAUGUAAGGAAUGUGGGAAAACCUUUUACAGGAAUCCAGACCUUAUUAAACAUCAGAGAAUUCACACAGGAGAGAAGCCUUAUGGAUGUCAUGAAUGUGGAAAAUCCUUCAGUGAAAAGUCAACCCUUACUCGACACCAGAGAACACACACAGGAGAGAAACCAUAUGAGUAUCAUGAAUGUGGGAAAGUCUUCUCAUUUAAGUCGUUCCUCACUGUUCCUCAGAAAACACACACAGGAGAGAAGCCCCAUGAAUGUUGGGAAUGUGGGAAAGCCUUUCUCAGAAAAUCUGACCUCGUUAAACAUCAGAGAAUUCACACAGGGGAAAAACUUUAUGCAUGUAUUGAAUGUGGGAAAUCUUUCUCUAUGAAAUCAACACUUACAAAACAUCUAAGAAUGCACAUGGGUGAGAAACCCUAUGAAUGUAUUCAAUGUGGAAAAUUUUUCUGCCACUACUUAGGUUUCUCAGAACACCUGAGAAGAAACCUUUUGGAUGUAAUGAAUGUGGGAAAACCUUCCGUCAGAAAUCAGCUGUUACUGUUAUCAGAGAACUCACAUAAAAUAGAAACCCUAUGGAUGUAAUGAAUAUGGAAGAUCAUUCUGUGUGAAGUCAAAACUCACUGCACAUCUUAGAACACACACAGGGGAGAAACCCUGUGGAUGUAAUGAAUGUGGAAAAUCAUUUUAUGUUAAGUCAAAACUCACUGUUCAUCAGAGAACACAUUUGAUGAGAAACCCUGUAAAUACAAUAAGUGAGGGCACUCUUAAUGAAUUCUAA
Molecule: RNA transcript, 1436 nt
Organism: Nycticebus coucang (slow loris)
Lineage: Eukaryota; Metazoa; Chordata; Mammalia; Primates; Lorisidae
Gene name: zinc finger protein 37A-like
Exons: 2
Source: RefSeq, a predicted model, not a curated record